UUUCCGUAGGUGAACCUGCGGAAGGAUCAUUAUUGUAUACCCGAGGUGCGAUGGCUGUCGCUGACCCGAAAGGUCGUGCACGCCCGAGUGCCCUCACACACAUCCAUCUCACCCCUAUGUGCACCACCGCGUGGGUCCCCCUUUGGCUUGUUCGGAGGGGGGCUUACGUUUUCACACAAACUUUGUAUGCAGUGUAGAAUGUAUUUUUUGUUUUUGCGAUCACGCAAUCAAUACAACUCUCAACAACGGAUCUCUUGGCUCUC
RNAcentral lists this unclassified non-coding RNA (263 nucleotides) under plant metagenome. Its description in RNAcentral is "partial contains small subunit ribosomal RNA, internal transcribed spacer 1, and 5.8S ribosomal RNA". The record is from RNAcentral.